This 75-nucleotide transfer RNA is filed under the name bacterium BMS3Abin01. RNAcentral's name for it is "tRNA-Gln". It matches the Rfam family "tRNA". From Rfam's summary of the family: Transfer RNA (tRNA) molecules are approximately 80 nucleotides in length. RNAcentral also lists the same sequence under 2 other names. The record is from RNAcentral.
UGGGGCGUAGCCAAGUGGUAAGGCGGCGGGUUUUGGUCCCGUGAUACGGAGGUUCGAAUCCUCCCGCCCCAGCCA